AUUGAACGCUGGCGGCAGGCCUAACACAUGCAAGUCGAACGGUAACAGGAAACAGCUUGCUGUUUCGCUGACGAGUGGCGGACGGGUGAGUAAUGUCUGGGAAACUGCCUGAUGGAGGGGGAUAACUACUGGAAACGGUAGCUCAUACCGCAUAACGUCGCAAGACCAAAGAGGGGGACCUUCGGGCCUCUUGCCAUCGGAUGUGCCCAGAUGGGAUUAGCUUGUUGGUGGGGUAACGGCUCACCAAGGCGACGAUCCCUAGCUGGUCUGAGCGGAUGACCAGCCACACGGGAACUGAGACACGGUCCAGACUCCCACGGGGGGCAGCAGUGGGGAAUAUUGCACAAUGGGCGCAAGCCUGAUGCAGCCAUGCCGCGGGUAUGAAGAAGGCCUUCGGGUUGUAAAGUACUUUCAGCGGGGAGGAAGGGAGUAAAGUUAAUACCUUUGCUCAUUGACGUUACCCGCAGAAGAAGCACCGGCUAACUCCGUG
Molecule: ribosomal RNA, 490 nt
Filed under: uncultured bacterium
Lineage: Bacteria
Description: partial 16S ribosomal RNA
Rfam family: Bacterial small subunit ribosomal RNA
Source: RNAcentral